RNAcentral lists this long non-coding RNA (440 nucleotides) under Parus major (Great Tit). Its description in RNAcentral is "lncRNA (ENSPMJG00000013134.1)". Lineage: Eukaryota; Metazoa; Chordata; Aves; Passeriformes; Paridae. The record is from RNAcentral.
AGUAUUCCAAAAUUUUUGUAAUACCUGGAAAGACCAGGUAUAUAUCCAUUGGGAAUAAAUAUGACUGAAGUUUUACUGAGAUAUCUGAACAGCGGAGAUGUCACACAAGAUUAGUUUUGAUACUGUCCUUUUUUUAUCCAGGUUCCCUAUUUUGCCUCACUGAACACCUUAUAAAAGUGUUAUUGGAUUUCAACCAGCUUUGAGUCAGGAAUAGAGAUUUCAGGGGUUGCUGAUGCUGCUGAUGGAGGUGCUCCACAAAGGCCUCAUCCUGCACAUGCUGUGGAGGGAGCAUCAGGAAGGUGCAAUUAGCAUGGGGCUGACAAGUGGAACAACACAAAACCCAGAGCAAAGGUACAUGGCCACAGCUCAGAGACCAGAACACAAGAUAUUUGUUGCUCUCCAGAAGCAUAGCACAGAGAAAACCAGCAAGUCAUUGAGGG